This 547-nucleotide ribosomal RNA is filed under the name Xylaria subtropicalis. RNAcentral describes it as "eukaryotic LSU rRNA". It matches the Rfam family "Eukaryotic large subunit ribosomal RNA", at positions 77 to 648 of the family's 3401-position model. Lineage: Eukaryota; Fungi; Ascomycota; Sordariomycetes; Xylariales; Xylariaceae. The record is from RNAcentral.
GCCCUAGUAACGGCGAGUGAAGCGGCAACAGCUCAAAUUUGAAAUCUGGCCCUCGGGUCCGAGUUGUAAUUUGUAGAGGAUGCUUUUGGCGCGGUGCCUUCCGAGUUCCCUGGAACGGGACGCCUUAGAGGGUGAGAGCCCCGUACGGUUGGACACCAAGCCUCUGUAAAGCUCCUUCGACGAGUCGAGUAGUUUGGGAAUGCUGCUCUAAAUGGGAGGUAAAUUUCUUCUAAAGCUAAAUAUUGGCCAGAGACCGAUAGCGCACAAGUAGAGUGAUCGAAAGAUGAAAAGCACUUUGAAAAGAGGGUUAAAUAGCACGUGAAAUUGUUGAAAGGGAAGCGUUUGCGACCAGACCUUUUCCCAGCGGAUCAUCCGGUGUUCUCACCGGUGCACUUCGCUGGGUUUAGGCCAGCAUCGGUUUCCGUAGGGGGAUAAAAGCCCUGGGAACGUAGCUCCCUCGGGAGUGUUAUAGCCCUCUGCAUAAUACCCUUACGGGGACCGAGGACCGCGCUUCGGCAAGGAUGCUGGCGUAAUGGUCGUCAACGAC